Molecule: non-coding RNA, 600 nt
Organism: Nicotiana tabacum (common tobacco)
Lineage: Eukaryota; Viridiplantae; Streptophyta; Magnoliopsida; Solanales; Solanaceae
Source: RefSeq, a predicted model, not a curated record
UCUCAAAAAUUUCUCACGCUCAAAAAAGGAAUAGAACUCAAAAGUAGCCCUAACUCAAAAGGGCAGAAAUCUCACGCUCAAGAGAUCAAUUUCUAAUCUCAAAAUCCAACUGGAAAUUCUCUCUUCAAAAUAGCCCUAAGCCAGAGCACAAAAUCGACGAAUCCAAGUGACGAUUUUCACCCAAAUGGCAAUUUUCACCAUGCUGCGCUGAAGAACAUCAAAACUCAAGUCAUUCUUGCUGGUCAAACAUCUUGCCUUAAGGCACAUAUACCAACUAUCUAAAUCAUCAAGAAGAAAGCUCAAUUAUGUCUGAAAAAAGAAUCGAAUAAAAGAUGGAUGGAUGGCUGAUCAGAAUGCAACAGCAAGGACAAGAUUCUUUAAGAACGAGGAAGUGAAGUUGCUCAAGGAGUAGUUUGAAGAUAUUUUUAUGAUCUUUUUGUUUAUCGUAGAAGACAUUGGAGUAUGUCUUGAAGACUGUUUCUUUUUUGUUUGUGUCGUGAAAUGGCAAUGUAUAUACAUUGACUACUCUUGGCUGUGUAGACUUUUUAACAUUAAAAAGUCUAUAAUUCUAUUUUGAGAAUUAUUAUCGGAUUGUACAAA